Oncorhynchus nerka (sockeye salmon) is the source of this 5692-nucleotide long non-coding RNA. RefSeq lists it as uncharacterized. The record is from RefSeq and is a predicted model, not a curated record. The transcript has 3 exons. Lineage: Eukaryota; Metazoa; Chordata; Actinopteri; Salmoniformes; Salmonidae.
AGCUGGGGUGUUAGGGUGUUGGUUUGAGAUAAAAAGCUAGAAAAACAAGGGCUAAGCGAAAAAGAUCAACUGAAAUAGCAGUUGUGGUUAACGCUGGAGGCUGGGCACACUCAAUCUAUGACGUAGUAGAUGAAGACACAUGAAGCUCUACUCGGAAAGCAAAGAAUAAACAUUUAAAAAACGGGGUCUCAAUUCUGAUAUCAAGAUUACCCGCUUGUGAAGAAGGCCUAAAGAAAAUAAUGGGCCAAUCAUAUCGAUUGGAUGCCAUGACGAAUUUGAUGCUAUGCGACCAACCGCUGGAGACUUCCUUCAGCAAAGAUGGCUGACAAAAAUACUAGGACCGAAGCAAAUGUUAGUGACUCCUGAGAAAACCACCAAACCAAGCUGUCGUCUUGUGAAAGAGUGGAUAUAAGGAAUAUAGCUAGCUAAAGUUUUACUGAAAAUGUAAUGUGCAUUUUAUAUGCUUGCCUUGCUGGUAUUUGCCAUGAAAUGCAGUAGUAAUGUAGCUAGCUAACCAUUGUCUUGCUUAUUGUGUAGUGGAGGAUAAAAAAUACCUGUAUGCCUAUGGAUGUGUAGCUAGCUAUAAAAAAAAUAUAGCUAAGAAUAUAUUCACCGAUCAUGUGCUCUACCUUGGCAAAUACAGGUGUGGUUCAGGUCUUUUUCAGUCAUAUCCAAUACCAAGAGUAUCAAACUCCAGUCUUUGAACGAUGCUGUGUCUGCAUGUAUGUAUUACAAUUAUACACUUCAACCUUGUUUACCAAUCCUGGUCCAUCUAUGGUUACACAUUGUAACUAUGCAAUGGACUAGAAACAUGAUUUAACUAAUUAAAGACGGAUUUGUAAUUCACAUAUAUAUAGAAACAGAAUUUAAAAAGAAAGGUACCCUAUACUUUCUAUGUAUCACGUAAAUACUUGAAUAAACAGUUCAUCUCAAUAUCUCAUUUCCUUCAUCUGCACUGAUCUGAGGACACGGGAUAGGUGUAGUAUUUCAUGAAAUCAGAGACUUUAUUUCAACCAGUAGAGAAUGUGAAAUGCUUUGAAAAAAGUUCAAGUGUUAUAAAUACAUUAUAUUACAAUUAUAAUAAAUGUAUUAUGAAUAAAAGUUCAAGAGUGUUUACCAAUUCUGGUCCUGGGACAUCUAUGGUUACACAUUGUAACUAUGCAAUGUGUAGACUUUACAGUGAAAUGUUUACUUACAAGCCCUUAACCAGUGCAAUUCAAGAAGAGUUAAGAAAAUAUUUACUAAGUAGACAAAAAUAAAAAUAUAGUUUAGUUGAAGAGACACUGUUCAACAGGAAUCUGUGGCCUCACCUGCUGUCCACACUACGUGGCUGCAGAGUACUUUAUGCUGAAAAGCAUGCAUAGACACACGAGGAUAAACAAUAUAGUGUAGUUAUAUAAAUAUAAAUAAUGAAGUUUCCUCUUGCCUAUUCUGUUUAAAGUCAAAGGAGCCACAGUUAUACAUCUGAGCUUGCUUACUGCACAACACAAUCCAUCAAACAUUGAUACAUGAAUGUGUGGGUUAUAAGGUGUCUAAUUGUUUUAAAUGUGUGUGACUUAAAUAGCCUGUUUGUUUUUGUACAGACAUCACACUCUUAAACAGCACCCUCACCUGAUAAGUAGAAAUCAAAGGGAGAGAAACUGGGAAUUGAAUAACUGCAGUUGACAUUAGCUAAGUAAAUAGAAGAAUAGUCUUAGAAAGAGGAGGAAGGGAAGCGCUACUAAGGUACACAAUAGUACAUUUUGGUAGACAGAAGGAGCUCUAUGGUAAAAUAGGUAAAUUGGUCAUCAAAAAGGAGGACCAAGGCACUCUUCAUAUAAUGAAUUAAAAUGGCUUUAUUUGUAUGGCAUGUUCAAUAGAAACAACGUUUUUUUGUUUAAAUGCGAAGCGUUUCGGCUGCGGCCAUGUUCCUAUUGAACAUGCCAUACAAAUAAAGGCAUUUUAAUUCAUUAUUUGAAGAGGGCCUUGGAAGAAUACUCUUAGUGCAGUGUGGAUGGCUCUUAAAAGGGCCUUUGGUUGUGCAUAGUGUAGUCUAUGGUGUUGCCAGGGAACAGCACCCUCUUCGAAGAAGUAGGUGAAGAUCUCCAACACACAGAUUGCCUCUCUUGCUGCGUUGUUGGACCCCCAUCCUUGAAACAUCUUGACACCGUAUUGACGCAAUAGUAGCCUUGGUGUGCAGGCCUUCAAUGGUGGCAGGGUGGGCACAUCCAUUGUAAGGCAGGAUUAUCUCUGUGUUGAUGGUGAUGAUACACCAGUACAGGUGGUGUGGUACCAACUGGAGCAUGUGGAACACUCCCUCUGUGAAAGUACAUGUCAAUUAGGCCAUUGAUUCCAUGAUAUGAUGUCACAGUUAGAAGGAAAGCUCAGCAAUCCAUGAUAUGAUGUCACAGUUAGAAGGAUAGCUCAGCAAUCCAUGAUAUGAUGUCAGAGUUAGGAUAGCUCAGCAAUCCAUGAUAUGAUGUCACAGUUAGAAGGAUAGCUCAGCAAUCCAUGAUAUGAUGUCACAGUUAGAAGGAUAGCUCAGCAAUCCAUGAUAUGAUGUCACAGUUAGAAGGAUAGCUCAGCAAUCCAUGAUAUGAUGUCACAGUUAGAAGGAUAGCUCAGCAAUCCAUGAUAUGAUGUCACAGAAGGAUAGCUCAGCAAUCCACGAUUUGGUUUUGUUUAACUAACCACUGCUUUGCUUGGUGUGAGGUAUUGUUGUCGCCUGGCGGGGAACAUUGUCCAACACAGAUUCUGUGCCGGGUUCUGUGGGUUUCGUUGCUCAAACCAGUAUCUGGUUGGGGAGGAAAACAUGACUUGUUUGUACAUAUACCAUGACAUUCUCUACUCGCUAGUGCCAACAAUAUACAUACACCUGCAUUGCAUAACACAUGAACAAUGGCUGCUCAUGAUUGAGAUGGUGUGCUUGAACGGAGAUCAAUAAUUCUUCAUGAUGACCUCUUCAUAGCAUGAAUACAACUAAUUGAGUCUUCAAUAUGCAACUGGACUCUAAAUUGUAACAAUAGUCUCAACAUCAUUGACAGGUCAACUUAAUGAAUUAUGAAUACUAUGCUGGACAUUGGAGAAAUAGAUGAACAAUAAUUUUGCCAGAUCAUAGAAUAGAUUUACCAUACCUGAUGUGCUUGACCAGGUUUUCACUCAUAUGGUGCUCCGCAUUAGGGGAACCAGUAGGGUCCAGGACAAUGGCAGAGUGGGUCCUGCGAUUGACAUACUAAAACGCAAGCAGUAAUACCAAGCCAGUGUAUCAAAUGGCCUCAAACAUAUUCAAGUAAAAAUAUAUAUACAUUUUUAAAUACCAUUAUUUAACUAGGCAAGUCAGUUAAGAACAAAUUCUUAUUUUCAAUGACGGCCUAGGAACAGUGGGUUAACUGCCUUGUUCAGGGGCAGAAUGACAGAUUUUUACCUUGUCAGCUCGGGAAAACAAACAGUUCUAUUUUUGUUUCAUCAGACCAGAGGACAUUUCUCUAAAAAAGUAUGAUCUUUGUACCCAUGUGCAGUUGCAAACUGUAGUCUGGCUUUUUUAUGGCAGUUUUGGAGCAGUGGCUUCUUCCUUGUUGAGGGGCCUUUCAGGUUAUGUCGAUAUAGGACUCGUUUUACUGUGGAUAUAGUCAACUUAGUGUAUGUAAACUUCUGGCCCACUGGAAUUGUGAUACAGUGAAUUAUAAGUGAAGUAAUCUGUCUGUAAACAAUUGUUGGGAAAAUGACUUGUGUCAUGCACAAAGUAGAUGUCCUAACCGACUUGCCAAAACUAUAGUUUGUUAACAAGAAAUUUGUGGAGUGAUUGAAAAACAAGUUUUAAUGACUCCAACCUAAGUGUAUGUAAACUUCCGACUUCAACUGUACAUACACUACCGUUCAAAAGUUUGGGGUCAUUUAGAAAUGUCUUUGUUUUUGAAAGAAAAGCUAUUUGUUUUGUCCAUUAAAAUAACAUCAAAUUGAUCAGAAGUACAGUGUAGACAUUGUCUAUGUUGUAAGUUACUAUUGUACCUAGAAACGGCUGAUUUUUAAUGGAAUAUCUACAUAUGCUUACAGAGGCCCAUUAUCAGCAACCAUCACUCCUGUGAUGAUUGGCACAUUGUAUUAGCUAAUCCAAGUUUAUCAUUUUAAAAGGCUAAUUGAUCAUUAGAAAACCCUUUUGCAAUUAUGUUAGCACAGCUUAAAACUGUUGUGCUGAUUAAAGAAGCAAUAAAACUGGCCUUCUUUAGACUAGUUGAGUAUCUGGAGCAUCAGCAUUUGUGGGUUCGAUUACAGGCCAGAAACAAAGACAUUUCUUCUGAAACUCGUCAGUCUAUUUUUGUUCCGAGAAAUGAAGGCUAUUCCAUUUUGAGAAAUUGCCAAGAAACUGAAGAUCUCGUACAACGUUGUGUACUACUCCCUUCACAGAACAGCGCAAACUGGCUCUAACCAGAAUAGAAAGAGUGGGAGGCCCCGGUGCACAACUGAUCAAGAGGACAAGUACAUUAGAGUGUCUAGUUUGAGAAACACGACGCCUCACAAGUCCGCAACUGACAGCUUCAUUAAAUAGUACCCACAAAACACCAGUCUCAACUUCAAAGAGUCUGAAUACUCGUGUAAAUGUUUAUAUGUAUAUUUUUUUAUAAAUGUGUAAACAUUUCUGAAAACCUGUUCACUUUGUCACUAUGGGAUAUUGUGUGUAGAUUGAUUAAAUGUUUUCAGAAUUAGGCUGUAAUGUAAUUAGGCUGUAAUGUAAUUAGGCUGUAAUUAGGCUGUAAUGUAAUUAGGCUGUAAUGUAAUUAGGCUGUAAUUAGGCUGUAAUGUAAUUAGGAUGUAAUGUAAUUAGGCUGUAAUUAGGCUGUAAUGUAAUUAGGCUGUAAUUAGGCUGUAAUGUAAUUAGGCUGUAAUGUAACAAACUGUGGAAAAGGGUGAAGGGGUAUAAACAAUUUCCGAAAGCACCGUAACUGUGGCCACCUUCAAAGACAAUAGGACCAACUAUGGAGAAUAGUAAUAAACGUCAUUAUUUAUAUUUAUAUAACUACACUAUAUGUUUUUCGGUAUAACGUACUCUGCAGCCACUUAGUGUGGACACCAGGUGAGGCCACACACAGAUUCCUGUUGAACAGUGUCUCUUCAACUACCAUAUUUUCUCAAUAACAGUCUCUCCUUCACCUCAUCCCUCUCCCCCUUCUCCCUAAAUCCUCUAGGUUAUAUCAGCUGUGUUGGUGAACCCCUCCUGCAUCUGAGCUGGCUCCAUAGAGGGCACAGCAUGAUCAGAGUCUCAUCUGCAGCUUUGUUUUGAUGUGAGAGAGGAUGCCAACCCCCAGUCCCGUCAUCGCCACAUCACCCGCUCUUAAGAUAACCUUCAGGUCGACUGGGAGCCCAAGGCUGGUUAGGAGACACCACUAGAGACACUAUUAUGUAAUUGUGAUGAACUGAGAGAAUAUUAAGUUUAGUAGCAUUGUAAUUCAUUAAUCAUAUGCUGCCUUCCCUGCUCCUCUGUUCUUACCUCUUUCCCUUUCACUCUCACACACCUCUCUCCCCACCUCUCCCCACACCUCCUCUUUCUUCCUGUUUUUAUAAUGCACACCAGAUGUGCAAUGAAGUACAGAACUUUUAUUCAUAAUACAUUUAUUAUAAUUGUAAUAUUAUGUAUUUAUAACACUUGAACUUUUUUCAAAGCAUUUCACAUUCUCUACUGGUUGAAAUAAAGUCUCUGAUUUCAUGAAAUACUACA